Molecule: ribosomal RNA, 495 nt
Filed under: uncultured bacterium
Lineage: Bacteria
Description: partial 16S ribosomal RNA
Rfam family: Bacterial small subunit ribosomal RNA
Source: RNAcentral
GACGAACGCUGGCGGCGUGCCUAAUACAUGCCAGUAGAACGCUGAAGGAGGAGCUUGCUUCUCUGGAUGAGUCGCGAACGGGUGAGUAACGCGUAGGUAACCUGCCUGGUAGCGGGGGAUAACUAUUGGAAACGAUAGCUAAUACCGCAUAAUAGUAGAUGUUGCAUGACAUUUGCUUAAAAGGUGCAAUUGCAUCACUACCAGAUGGACCUGCGUUGUAUUAGCUAGUUGGUGGGGUAACGGCUCACCAAGGCGACGAUACAUAGCCGACCUGAGAGGGUGAUCGGCCACACUGGGACUGAGACACGGCCCAGACUCCUACGGGAGGCAGCAGUAGGGAAUCUUCGGCAAUGGACGGAAGUCUGACCGAGCAACGCCGCGUGAGUGAAGAAGGGUUUCGGAUCGUAAAGCUCUGUUGUAAGAGAAGAACGAGUGUGAGAGUGGAAAGUUCACACUGUGACGGUAUCUUACCAGAAAGGGACGGCUAACUACGUG